GGAGAAGCUGUGGCUAAAUGGCAGAUCAUUUGCCUUGGAUGCAGAAGGUCACAUGUUCAAUUCCUGGCAUUUCCA
This 75-nucleotide transfer RNA is filed under the name Sphaerodactylus townsendi. RNAcentral's name for it is "tRNA-Pro". The record is from RNAcentral. Lineage: Eukaryota; Metazoa; Chordata; Lepidosauria; Squamata; Sphaerodactylidae.